Drosophila yakuba is the source of this 2814-nucleotide long non-coding RNA. RefSeq lists it as uncharacterized. NCBI's taxonomy places the organism in Eukaryota, Metazoa, Arthropoda, Insecta, Diptera, Drosophilidae. The record is from RefSeq and is a predicted model, not a curated record. The transcript has 2 exons.
GACAGGUGAAGAGAUGCGAGGGGGGGGCGGUGAGUCCGUCGUCUUCCAGACUGAGCUAUGUGCGUACAGUUGCGCUCACAACGCUAGUGCUCUUCACUCAAGCGUAAAUUUGUACAUAUUCAAUAGCAAAACUAUGCUGCUUGUAAGGCUAUAUCAAUUUUUACUUGAACUGGAGCGCUGGCACUAGUGGUAGCUAUUUGUGUGGCCAGCGCUGUGCGCAUGUCUUGCACCUUUCUGUCUGAGAGGCUGGCCUCCCUUGCAAUAACACUCAAUGGGUGUGUGAGUGCAGUGCAGUGUGUCUGUCUGUCUGUCUGUCUGUCUGGUGGCCCGACCAAAUGACUCAAUGAAACUUUUUUUCGCCUCUUUUUUUUUUUUUGUUGUUUUCACCCUGCACACAGUCAACUAUUUUAUUGAGCAAUUGCCAUGAGACAGAGGACUAUAAAUAAACCAUAAUGUGCUACCGAGAACUCACAGUUGAGCCUGCUUACGUUGGUUAACUUGGCCCAAAGACACCUAACUAUUUAUAGCACACCUCACUUACAAUGAGAACUACCGUCUGCUGCAUUUUCCGACUUUUGCAGACAGGUGGGCGUGGUUGCGCCCCCACGACAGGUGCAACAAUGUCGGCAAUGCAGUGCGAUUCCCAAUUAACGGACCAAUUAGCGCCAUGGAAUUCGGCGAUUUAGCGUUAUUACAUUAACAUAAAUUCGUGUCGGCAUUUAUACCACGGAUCAUACAUACGUACAUAUGUAUAUACAUACCUGGAUUUUCUUAUGGAGCGAGAGAUGUUUUAAUGCUUACAGUGGAGGUCAGAAUACUAGCAACUUCAUAAGCUGCAUGUAGCAACCUCGUUUAAAUAUAAAGAUUUUUACUAAGAAUUUAACUCUUAUUUUAAUAGUUUAAUGUGAAGCCCAUGGUGAUCCGUUUCCUUUUGGUGCUAUAAUUUUGAGCGUUGCUGUUUUUGAAACCGCUGCUCAGAUUUCGAGAUUUCUUCAAACGUUUUUUCGCCUUUUUAGCCAAACUAACCGUCCGUGGCCUUGGGUUUCGGGCGCUUAACUCCCCCGACUGCGAACGCACGAUCCAAACAUACGAACAUCCAAUACCCCUUUUAGCAACCCCUCCCCCUCCUUCACUUUUUGCAACAUGUUUGUGCACGCAAACUAAUUAAGACGGGCAAUUAAUGGCUGUAUUUAAUUUUUGCCAUUUGCGUUGCGAUGCCGAAAUAGCCAAAAACGACCAAGUGAAAAUGUAUAUAUAUGUAUGUACAUACAUAGUUGCAACUUGAAGAUGGCCAAAAGCGGUUAACUGCAAUGCCAGCUGUUAUAAUGCGAAAAAUACAAAUACAUACAUACAUAUGUAUGUAUUUAGAUAUACAAAUAAAGCGAAAAAGGGGUGGGGUGGCAACCCUGGCGGUGCGUGCAUGAAAAAUAAUGGAAAUGGAAGAAAAACCAAAUGAAAUGCGAAUAAUGUACGAAAAUUUUCACAUUCAAUGACCUUGACAAUGGCUUUGGCCCAAGUCGCUCAACUUGUUUAUUUCAUUUACUUCGCUUUACGUGUGUGAGCGUAGAAAACGUGACGAGUUAUUUACGUACAUACGUACUUUUGGAGAAAGGUCGUUGAUCAUGGCUAAAUGUUGUUGUUGUUGUUGCUGUUGUUUUUUACGCUUAAUAGCGGUUUCAAAGUCAACAUCAACGCGCUGUUUUUGGCCAUUUCAGUAUUUCUAGUUUCGAUAACCCCUCCCCCCCGCCAUCCCUCCGUCGGAUUUCAACUCUUUUUCGAACUGUUUCCCUUCAAAAACAGCUUUAUUUUUUCUUGAAUUCAGUGGCGCAAGGUUAAUAGUGCCGAAAACCAAAGCCAUUGGCCCGGGGAAAUUUCUGCGAGUUUUUUCGUCGCCUUGCCAAAAAAAAAAAACAAACGAUCGAGCAACGAACUUGAGAAAAGCAAAUAGAGCCAAAAAAAAAUAGUUAGGAUUGCGUUUCAAAAAGCAAAUAGAAUAGAUAGAAGCAAUAGGAAAAUUAAUAUGCAUAAAUGACUUUUCCCAUGAAUGGAAUCAACUCUGAAUCAACCACUUUGCAGAUGCAUCUAUUUCUCAUUUCCAGUGUCACAUCAUUUUUCCAGAUCUCGCUGCUUGGCUAUGUGGCCCACAAACCAAGACGCGUUUUAUGGCCAUUAAAGCUGGCUGAUGGACGACAAACACCACCAAAUACAUAAUGAAUAUGUGCAUUCGAGAAAGAGGCGAUAAAAGAAGCGUCUUCGGGCGAAGAAAGAGACUGAGAAGGAGAACGAGGACGAGAACGAGAAGGAGAACAAGAAGGAGAACGAGAACGAGUUGAUCUAGUAGCUCUCCACAAUCGAAUGCCAACUGACCAACUGGCCAUAUUCGGAGCAAUUUGAAGCCAAUUUCCAUCGCUUGGCGAUCGCUCCAUUCUUGGCUAUAUGUUUUUCACCGUUAGCCGGGGUCAUUUCCAAAGACUCGUCUGCAAGAUAAGAUUGUGUCACUCGCUGUCUCUCUUCUUUUGCCGCAGACAGCCAAGAAAGAGAAGCAGAAGAAGACUGAGGAAUUUCGCGAUGACGUCGGCGAGUAUUUUGAACAAUAAGCAUAAUUUGUAUUCAUUCGAAUUCCAGUUAGGGGAAUUUUCUACAAAAACAUCUUAUCUAUAGAUAAUUUUGACGGAAAAUUUUGUGAGCGUGAUAAAGAAGUGGAAUUAAAUCUUUAAAAUAUGAUAAGGAACUGGAAUUCAAUUGCAUACAUAUUUGGCAUGGAUUCCCCGAGAAUAAAUGCAUUGUAAUAAAUGAAAUCGAUUGUAAAAUAAA